RNAcentral lists this ribosomal RNA (495 nucleotides) under uncultured bacterium. Its description in RNAcentral is "partial 16S ribosomal RNA". It matches the Rfam family "Bacterial small subunit ribosomal RNA", at positions 28 to 507 of the family's 1533-position model. The record is from RNAcentral.
GACGAACGCUGGCGGCGUGCCUAAUACAUGCAAGUAGAACGCUGAAGGAGGAGCUUGCUUCUCUGGAUGAGUUGCGAACGGGUGAGUAACGCGUAGGUAACCUGCCUGGUAGCGGGGGAUAACUAUUGGAAACGAUAGCUAAUACCGCAUAAUAUUGACUAUUGCAUGAGAGUCAGUUGAAAGGUGCAACUGCACCACGACCAGAUGGACCUGCGUUGUAUUAGCUAAGUGGGGGGGUAACGGCUCACCAAGGCGACGAUACAUAGCCGACCUGGGAGGGGUGUCGCGCACCCUGGGACCGGGACCCGGCCCCGGCUCCUUACGGAGGCAGCCGUAGGGAAUCUUCGGACAUGGACGGAAGUCUGAACGCGCAACGCCGCGUGAGUGGAGAAGGUUUUCGGAUCGUAAAGGUCUGUUGUGAGGGAAGAACGAGUGUGAGAGUGGAAAGCUCACACUGUGACGGUACCUUACCAGAAAGGGACGGCUAACUACGUG